UGGGGAAUAUUGGACAAUGGGCGCCCGNCUGAUCCAGCCAUACCGCGUGGGUGAAGAAGGCCUUCGGGUUGUAAAGCCCUUUUGUUGGGAAAGAAAAGCAGUCGAUUAAUACUCGGUUGUUCUGACGGUACCCAAAGAAUAAGCACCGGCUAACUUCGUGCCAGCAGCCGCGGUAAUACGAAGGGUGCAAGCGUUACUCGGAAUUACUGGGCGUAAAGCGUGCGUAGGUGGUUGUUUAAGUCUGUUGUGAAAGCCCUGGGCUCAACCUGGGAAUUGCAGUGGAUACUGGGCGACUAGAGUGUGGUAGAGGGUAGUGGAAUUCCCGGUGUAGCAGUGAAAUGCGUAGAGAUCGGGAGGAACAUCCAUGGCGAAGGCAGCUACCUGGACCAACACUGACACUGAGGCACGAAAGCGUGGGGAGCAAACAGGAUUAGAUACCCUGGUAGUCCACGCCCUAAACGAUGCGAACUGGAUGUUGGGUGCAAUUUGGCACGCAGUAUCGAAGCUAACGCGUUAAGUUCGCCGCCUGGGGAGUACGGUCGCAAGACUG
This 550-nucleotide ribosomal RNA is filed under the name uncultured bacterium. Its description in RNAcentral is "bacterial SSU rRNA". It matches the Rfam family "Bacterial small subunit ribosomal RNA", at positions 355 to 896 of the family's 1533-position model. The record is from RNAcentral.